Molecule: ribosomal RNA, 331 nt
Filed under: Trueperella sp. HMSC08H06
Lineage: Bacteria; Bacillati; Actinomycetota; Actinomycetes; Actinomycetales; Actinomycetaceae
Description: bacterial SSU rRNA
Rfam family: Bacterial small subunit ribosomal RNA
Source: RNAcentral
GGCUUCACGCAUGCUACAAUGGCCGGUACAGAGGGUUGCGAGCCUGUGAGGGUGAGCUAAUCUCUUAAAGCUGGUCUCAGUUCGGAUUGGGGUCUGCAACUCGACCCCAUGAAGUCGGAGUCGCUAGUAAUCGCAGAUCAGCAACGCUGCGGUGAAUACGUUCUCGGGCCUUGUACACACCGCCCGUCACGUCACGAAAGUUGGUAACACCCGAAGCCCGUGGCCUAACCUUUUGGGGGGAGCGGUCGAAGGUGGGAUUGGCGAUUGGGACGAAGUCGUAACAAGGUAGCCGUACCGGAAGGUGCGGCUGGAUCACCUCCUUUCUAAGGAG